Molecule: ribosomal RNA, 465 nt
Filed under: uncultured Klebsiella sp.
Lineage: Bacteria; Pseudomonadati; Pseudomonadota; Gammaproteobacteria; Enterobacterales; Enterobacteriaceae
Description: bacterial SSU rRNA
Rfam family: Bacterial small subunit ribosomal RNA
Source: RNAcentral
CCUACGGGUGGCUGCAGUGGGGAAUAUUGCACAAUGGGCGCAAGCCUGAUGCAGCCAUGCCGCGUGUGUGAAGAAGGCCUUCGGGUUGUAAAGCACUUUCAGCGGGGAGGAAGGCGUUAAGGUUAAUAACCUUGGCGAUUGACGUUACCCGCAGAAGAAGCACCGGCUAACCCCGUGCCAGCAGCCGCGGUAAUACGGAGGGUGCAAGCGUUAAUCGGAAUUACUGGGCGUAAAGCGCACGCAGGCGGUCUGUCAAGUCGGAUGUGAAAUCCCCGGGCUCAACCUGGGAACUGCAUUCGAAACUGGCAGGCUAGAGUCUUGUAGAGGGGGGUAGAAUUCCAGGUGUAGCGGUGAAAUGCGUAGAGAUCUGGAGGAAUACCGGUGGCGAAGGCGGCCCCCUGGACAAAGACUGACGCUCAGGUGCGAAAGCGUGGGGAGCAAACAGGAUUAGAUACCCUUGUAGUC